RNAcentral lists this ribosomal RNA (433 nucleotides) under uncultured bacterium. Its description in RNAcentral is "partial 16S ribosomal RNA". It matches the Rfam family "Bacterial small subunit ribosomal RNA", at positions 29 to 507 of the family's 1533-position model. The record is from RNAcentral.
AACGAACGCUGGCGGCAUGCCUAACACAUGCAAGUCGAACGAGACCGUCGUGUCUAUGUGCGCACGUGUACUUAACGCCGGGGAACCUACCCUUAGGUUCGGUAUAACUCCCCGAGAGGGGUGUUAAGACCAGUUAGUGUCUUCCGACCAAAGACUUCUCGCCUUGGGGUGGGGCCGCGUUGGAUUAGCUAGUUGGUAGGGUAAAAGCCUACCAUGGCGACGAUCCAGAGCUGGUCUGAUAGGAUGAUUCGCCACGCUGGGGCUGAGACACGGCCCAGAAUGCUACGCGAGGGAGCAGAGGAGUAUAUAAGAGAAUGAGCGCAAGCGUGAUCCAGCAGUGCGGCGUGAGUGAUGAAGGGCUUAGGGUUGUAAUUCUGUUUUACCCGAGAUGUGAAUGACAGUAACGGGAGAAUAAGCUCCGGCUAACUACGUG